This 2560-nucleotide unclassified non-coding RNA is filed under the name Hevea brasiliensis (rubber tree). The record is from RNAcentral. Lineage: Eukaryota; Viridiplantae; Streptophyta; Magnoliopsida; Malpighiales; Euphorbiaceae.
CGCACUUGGCAUUCACAAAUUACCAAAGCCCUUAUCCCGUUCGAGUUUCUCUGAACCAACAAGCCCUCAAUCUGGUCGGCACACCAACAGGUGCUCUCUUACGCCGCCCAACACACAUGAACUUGUUCAAACGUUUCUUCUCUGAGACGUACUGUAUCUUCUUCUGAGGUCUUAAGGAGAGGAAUAUUUGGGACGUCUUCUCAGAGUUGCAAUUUUUCUACUAAAGGUGCUGAACAUUCAUGCCUGCUGUUAUUUUGAAUGUUUAUUUACAGUUAUUUCCCUACGUAUUAGAGCAUCUGCAUAGUUUCAUGUUUAUUUAAAGUUAUUUCUGAUUGUUUAUCUAGAGUUAUAUCCUGAAGAUUUGGCCUAGUAAAGGCUGCUGAGAAUGUCUAUCUAGAGUUAUUUUGAAUGUUUAUUUGUAGUUUGAAUGUCUAUAACAUUGUGGUUAAUGAUUAUAUAUUUUACAUGUAGAUUUUUCCUGAAUAUUUGGCCUAGUAAAUGCUUUUAUUAGCUUUUAUAAAGUAUAAUACUCUAAUUCUUUUUAUAUAAUUUAAUUUUGAAGGUAUUGAAGGAAUUUUCAUCAUGCCUUCCAUGUGUUUCUAUGAGUUGUUUUAGAAGUGUUGUAUUUCUGAACUUGUUGUUUUUAUGAUUUGUGAUUUAAUUUGUUAUUUUUUGGCAUGUAUUGCAAUAAUAUUUUUGUCAUGUUUUAUGUAUUAGUUAUCAGAUUUGGGAUGGAUUCAAGUAUAUUUUAUUCAGGUUUGGGAUGGGUUUGGAUAACUCAUAUAUUUUACGGGUUCGGGUUUGGGUUCCGGUUCAGAUACUUUAAAAUUUGCAGCUACCUUACUUGUUGCCAUCCCUAUAAUAACUAACAAAUACUAAACACUCUAAACCUUAGUUCGUAUUUUGCUUCUCUUAAUUUUCUUGGUGGUGAGUACCACAAGCUAUUACCUCUGUUUUGCAGGCUAUAUAGUUGAUUGAAUGCAGUAUUGGUGUUGGUGAUUAACUAAGAAAAUGAUGGAGGAGACUAAGAAUUUGGACCUUGAUCGAAGCAUAAAGAAGGAGGCUCCUCAAUUAGCUGCACUGCUGAAAGAAAUGAAAGGAGUGUUGGAUACAGUGACAAGUAAGGUGCAGGCUUUAACUGCUAAGGUGAAAGCAAAUGACUUUCCAACAGCAGGCGGAAUAAGCUAUCUUGAGGCUAAACAUUUGCUGCUCCUAAACUAUUGCCAAUCACUUGUAUAUUAUUCGCUUCGCAAGGCAAAAGGCUUGUCAAUUGAGAAACAUCCUGUAGUUCAGAGCCUUAUAGAGAUUCGGUUGUUUUUGGAGAAGAUUCGGCCAAUUGACCAAAAAAUGGAAUACCAAGUUCAAAAGCUCACCAGGGAUAUUGGGCGUGCAGCGGAGCAACUAAAUCUGAAGGAAAAGGAAUCAGAGGCAACUGAGAAAUCGGAGGAUUUGUUGAAAUAUCAUCCAAACCCAGAAAUGUUGGUCAGCAGAUCUGAUAUGAUGGCUGAGGAUGGUAAUGCUGUGUAUCGACCACCAAAAAUUGCUCCCACUCUCAUGGAGGAGGAUAAGAUGUCAAAACAGGAAAGAAAUGCCUUGAGAAGGGAGAAAGAGACUCAGCGACGAGCUAAGGAGGGCUAUAUGAAAGACUUGAUAGAUGAUUUGGAGGGAAGACCUGAAGAGGUCAGAGAAAAUGUUGGAAAUGAGAGUAGGGAAUUUAUUAGAUAUCAGCAGCAAUGGGAAGAACGUGCCCAACGAGAAGAGGAGCUCUUUACACGUGCUCCUGUUACAAAGAUGGAGAAGAAGAAGGAGAAGCAUUUAAAGAAAUCAAGAGAUGGGUAUGCAUGGUUCAAAUCAACAUUAUUUUAUUAUUUUUGGAGGUUUAUUUUUUUAUGUUUUGAUAUGUAAAAUUCAUUGAUCCAUCUGAUAAAACAUCGUUAUUGGUGAUAUAUGACCUUUUUUCCUUGACCAUCUUUCAUUUGUUUGUCCCAGAUUGCUUGCUUUGACUGAUGGUUUCUUUGAUGAAAUUAAAACCUUACCCUUGGAAGGUGAUACUGGUGAUCAAACAAAAAAACUUCAAUAAUGGUAGCAGUGCAACUGGAAGACUGAAAAAACGGAAGGUAUGCCAUUUUGAAUAUUUUGAAAUGUCAUGUCGUUGUUUCCUUUAUCUGUUAACUAUCUUGGAUUGAAGAACUUCUGUCCCACAUUGGUAUCAUACCAAUCUCUGCUAGGCUAUUCAAAGCUUGGAAUUUUAAAUCUAUAGCAGGAUUUUAGCUUUGCAUUUAUUUGUUAGAAUGAGGGAGGCCACAUUUUCUUAUGUUGGUUCCUCAUUGUUUGAUGUGAAGAACUUGAUGCCGAAAGCCCCUACAAAUAAGUGAUCUUUGGAUGUUAUGAUUCCAGUUAGAGAAACCAUUAAAUUUAAGAUCUCCCAGGCUACGUGGUUGUAUACUUGCAUUUUUAUUUGUUGUUUGACAUCAUGCAAGGAGAACUAGAUAUACAGAAUUUGUAUGGACUGGGGGUUGACCUUUUUGGUUAUUUGCAGAGGCGAUAUUAAGGACAAGAA